Molecule: ribosomal RNA, 118 nt
Filed under: Diaphorina citri (Asian citrus psyllid)
Lineage: Eukaryota; Metazoa; Arthropoda; Insecta; Hemiptera; Psyllidae
Source: RNAcentral
UUUAGUGAUCCAUCGUCUUUCAAUGCACCAGUUCCCGAUUGAUCACUGAAGUUAAGCAACGUUACGCGUGGUUGGUAUCCGGAUGAGUGACCAUAUAGGGAAUCGCGCCCUGCUGGCU